RNAcentral lists this small RNA (223 nucleotides) under Mycoplasmoides pneumoniae M129. RNAcentral's name for it is "Mycoplasma pneumoniae M129 ncRNA". Lineage: Bacteria; Bacillati; Mycoplasmatota; Mycoplasmoidales; Mycoplasmoidaceae. The record is from RNAcentral.
GAUAACCUUCGUGAAGACAAUAAGAACAUUUUCGAUAUCGAUGAUCUUAACGAUGAAAAAUAUGACCGUAAGAUUAUUGUUAGUGCUACUGAAGAAGUAUUGGAACAAUCUAACACUUUACAGAGUGAAGAAGCAGUUGUUCUACCGGCACCUGCUAAAUAUAAAGCUAGUGAUUCCACAAAAAUAGCAAUCACCCAAGAACCUAACCUAAUUGGUAUCCAUG